This 433-nucleotide ribosomal RNA is filed under the name uncultured bacterium. Its description in RNAcentral is "partial 16S ribosomal RNA". It matches the Rfam family "Bacterial small subunit ribosomal RNA", at positions 29 to 507 of the family's 1533-position model. The record is from RNAcentral.
AACGAACGCUGGCGGCAUGCCUAACACAUGCAAGUCGAACGAGACCUUCGGGUCUAGUGGCGCACGGGUGCGUAACGCGUGGGAAUCUGCCCUUGGGUUCGGAAUAACAGAGAGAAAUUACUGCUAAUACCGGAUGAUGUCUUCGGACCAAAGAUUUAUCGCCCCGGGAUGAGCCCGCGUAGGAUUAGCUGGUUGGUGGGGUAAUGGCCUACCAAGGCGACGAUCCUUAGCUGGUCUGAGAGGAUGAUCAGCCACACUGGGACUGAGACACGGCCCAGACUCCUACGGGAGGCAGCAGUGGGGAAUAUUGGACAAUGGGCGCAAGCCUGAUACAGCAAUGCCGCGUGAGUGAUGAAGGCCUUAGGGUUGUAAAGCUCUUUUAGCCGGGAUGAUAAUGACAGUACCGGGAGAAUAAGCUCCGGCUAACUCCGUG